UUUUAAAAAAUCAUCCAUUAGUACUAUUAAAAUUGAUGUGGAUGACAAAAUAAUCAAACAAUGACAUGUGGUAUGCUACGUGUACUUCAUACUAACAUGUAUGAAUCAAUUUUUAAUAGUAGAAAUAUAUGAAAAUUUUAAUA
Molecule: microRNA precursor, 143 nt
Filed under: Gossypium arboreum
Lineage: Eukaryota; Viridiplantae; Streptophyta; Magnoliopsida; Malvales; Malvaceae
Description: MIR7502 microRNA precursor family
Rfam family: MIR7502 microRNA precursor family
Source: Rfam by way of RNAcentral